Molecule: ribosomal RNA, 405 nt
Filed under: Theileria sp. sheep/France 2
Lineage: Eukaryota; Apicomplexa; Aconoidasida; Piroplasmida; Theileriidae
Description: SSU rRNA
Rfam family: Eukaryotic small subunit ribosomal RNA
Source: RNAcentral
GGUUGAUCCUGCCAGUAGUCAUAUGCUUGUCUUAAAGAUUAAGCCAUGCAUGUCUAAGUAUAAGCUUUUAUAUGGUGAAACUGCGAAUGGCUCAUUACAACAGUUAUAGUUUAUUUGAUGUUCGUUUUUACAUGGAUAACCGUGCUAAUUGUAGGGCUAAUACAUGUUCGAGACCUUCGGGUGGCGUUUAUUAGACCUAAAACCAAACCGCUUGCGGUUGACGGUGAUUCAUAAUAAACUUGCGAAUCGCAGCUUUUGCGGCGAUGUAUCAUUCAAGUUUCUGACCUAUCAGCUUGACGGUAGGGUAUUGGCCUACUGAGGCAACGACGGGUAACGGGGAAUUAGGGUUCGAUUCCGGAGAGGGAGCCUGAGAAACGGCUACCACAUCUAAGGAAGGCAGCAGGC